UACGUAGGGUGCGAGCGUUAUUCGGAAUUACUGGGCGUAAAGUGUGCGCAGGCGGCAGAGCAAGUCGAGUGUGAAAGCCCCGGGCUUAACUUGGGAAUUGCGCUCGAAACUACUUUGCUGGAGUGUGGCAGAGGAAGGUGGAACUCCACGUGUAGCGGUGAAAUGCGUAGAGAUGUGGAGGAACACCAAUGGCGAAGGCAGCCUUCUGGGCCAACACUGACGCUCAUGCACGAAAGCGUGGGGAGCAAACAGG
RNAcentral lists this ribosomal RNA (253 nucleotides) under uncultured bacterium. RNAcentral's name for it is "partial 16S ribosomal RNA". It matches the Rfam family "Bacterial small subunit ribosomal RNA", at positions 524 to 776 of the family's 1533-position model. The record is from RNAcentral.